This is a long non-coding RNA of Frieseomelitta varia, 513 nucleotides long. RefSeq lists it as uncharacterized. NCBI's taxonomy places the organism in Eukaryota, Metazoa, Arthropoda, Insecta, Hymenoptera, Apidae. The record is from RefSeq and is a predicted model, not a curated record. The transcript is spliced from 2 exons.
UUCGUCCUGAGCACAUUGUUCGUCUUCGAUUAGUGUUACGCGACCUCGUGCGUCAUCUCUUCCCCUGUCCCCGGUACGAAUCGACGGCUCGUUUAAGCUCGAAGAACUAUUUGUCGAUUCAUUUGUGCUUCCGUUUGAAAGAAAAUUCGAGGAUGCGCGUGUAAGAGGCGAAUGAAGAUGACUGACAAAAACGGGAUACGAAAUUGAAUCGCAGUUGAUCUUCGCAUUUAGACAGUUAUGAAAGCGUGCUGCAACGAAAUAGGCGGAUCUUAAAUGUCAAAGGAAACGUGUUCCCGUGGGAACUUUCAAUUAAAAUUUUAUCAGGCCGGGGAUAAUGGUCGAAGAUGGAUUCGAAGCUUCAUAAAAUAUUAUCCCGUCGUUAAACACAGGGACCAUGAUGCGGAUAAUUGAGAUAAGACCGUGGAAAUCGCAUUCGUUGCCUUAUUAAAUCACUGUAUAUAUUCUGGAAAGAUCCGGAUCAAACCCUGAAAAUAUAUCAUUUUAUUCAUUUUA